Molecule: non-coding RNA, 31 nt
Filed under: Mus musculus (house mouse)
Lineage: Eukaryota; Metazoa; Chordata; Mammalia; Rodentia; Muridae
Source: RNAcentral
UGCAAAUCUACCUGGUUUCGCCUCCUCCGAU